This is a microRNA precursor of Gallus gallus (chicken), 110 nucleotides long. The record is from Ensembl. NCBI's taxonomy places the organism in Eukaryota, Metazoa, Chordata, Aves, Galliformes, Phasianidae.
GGCAGUGCUGAGUGCAGCUCUCUCCCUGGCUUUCCAUGACAGGUUGGUACCUCUCAUCCUUCCUAUCUGUCCUUGUGAGCCCCAGAGUGAGUGCUGCUGUGUCUCUGCUC